Long non-coding RNA from Suricata suricatta (meerkat), 462 nucleotides. RefSeq lists it as uncharacterized. The record is from RefSeq and is a predicted model, not a curated record. Lineage: Eukaryota; Metazoa; Chordata; Mammalia; Carnivora; Herpestidae. The transcript has 3 exons.
UUCAGACGACCCUGGAGAGGAACCAGAACUUGCUGCACAGUGUAUUGAGAAACUUUGAUCUCUUCUGUCUUUUGAGAAGAGACAGAUAGGUGGGCGUGACACAGGGACUGAGCAGCGGGCAGAAGAGGAGGUGUGUAACAAAAAAUAUCCUUUCAGAAAACAGGAGCUUCAGCGGAGAGGAAGCCUGGAGCUUAAGGAGUCUUCCCUUCCCAGAGAGACAGUUUCUCGAGGAUCUGGAGACAGAUGCAACUGUGAAACCCCCACGGUCUCCACGCUGAGGUGUCUGUGACUAAGAGCAGAGAGAUACCCAUUUCACGUUCAAGAUCAUGGGCCAAAAGAGAAUUGGGAGGAAGGGUCGAGAAUCCAUGCCAGUCUGGACACAUGUUAUUCGCUGGCAACACAGGGUGCUCUGCUUGACAAAGAUGAAACAGGAAAGCCAGCACUGUAUUCUGAACCCGCCAG